Molecule: non-coding RNA, 1892 nt
Organism: Myodes glareolus (Bank vole)
Lineage: Eukaryota; Metazoa; Chordata; Mammalia; Rodentia; Cricetidae
Source: RefSeq, a predicted model, not a curated record
UUUGCCCUCUUCAUACUCACCCACCAGCAUAGCAGCCAGCGCUGCAGCUGCAUGACGAUGAUCAUGGACCUCCACAAAACAUGGGCAGAGCGAAUACCCACUACACACCAGAGAGGUGGUUGAUUGGGAGCUGAAGCUCUGUAAUACUUACUGCCCAGCUUUAGAAGAAAACACCAUACCAAAUGUCACCAACUUGGAAAAAGAAAGAAAAUUUAACAACUAAAGUAUAGUUUCUGCUGAAUAUGACUGCAACUCUGAGCAUUCAUGAAUACGUAAAGGAAACCCCUCGGAGAUCCAGACAGACGUGGAUGUGAGAGGAAGACCUGUCGAAGUCUUGGACGAGCAUCCAGAUAUCUUCUCUGUAUCCAUGAUACCGUCUAUUGCCCUGCAGAAAGGAGUGCAGGACUGGACCCAACAGCAAAUACAAGAGUGCCAAUAAUUCCCCAAGAGGGUCUCCUUUGCAGGAGGAAAGACCCAAUUCCACAGGCUUGCUGCUGGUUCUGGGUCAGAAGGGGCCAUCAAGAGAGCAGGUUUAAACUCGCGCAGACUGCUCUCCAGCCCGACUCUGCAACGUUGCAGUUGUAUCCUUGUGAGCAAACAGCAAGGCUGAUGCACGUUUGCUCAUUGACACCUACUGAUAAGAGCCAAUCGGAAUCAUGGCCGAAUUCCUUCAGACUGGACCUGCCAACAAGCUGCUCAGCCCUCCAGAUGUUACCGCUUUGUGAGAAAUAAGAACUCAAUAAACCAGGCUCACCCUUCCUCCUGGGGUGAACACAAAGACAGAUAUGGAAAAUCACGGCUCAGCACCGCGAACAAUGCUCUAAGUGAGGGGUUGGGGCCACUCUUAUUUGUCUUGGUGGAACAGACAGCCAUGGAGCCCGAUGCAAGAAUUUUAGUUGGCAACCGUUCAAACUCUGACUAUACAUUGCAAUUGUUCACCAAAGGAAACUUAUGAGCUUGGGGAAAGUGGCUUUUCACAGAAGGCGUGAGACACUGGUGGGGAGAGCUUGAGGUAUCUCACAGGAUGUUCCUAUGCGAGUGCCCCCCCACCCCUUGUGUUUCCCAGAGUCCGUCCUCUUGUGUUAUGUAACGGAGCAGAAGGAUGCAGCAGUAAACAACCUCGGAGCACUUCCGAACCGUGGAUGGAUAAUCUCCAGCAAGCACUUGCCGUUCCGGGAAUAGGACAGAAUGAGCUAGAAUGCUUGUCCUCAGACCAGCGUGUCCCAGUCUGUCUUAACACAGGACACACUUGUGACCUUGCUAUGAAAAAAUAAAAAUAUCAAAAAAAUGUGUGGUCAUCAUUUCCCCUGGGCUGGCCCCUCAUCCAGCUGUCCGUUCAUGCGCACCUUCUUCCAUCCUCCCUGUCUGCACCCAGACUCACGGUGAACCCCUGAGUUCAUCUAAAUAUGAGAUGGGAAGCCGCUGUUCUCAGCACAGAGUCCCCUGCUAAGCCUUGUGGCAAGUUAGCAUACAAUGUACAUAAUGGAUAUUAAUGAGUUAAGUGUUUAUAAUAUUUAAUUCACUGAUUAAGUCUCAUAUACAUGCUUAAAAUCAUGCCUAAUAUGCAUUGACUUCUUUUUGAGCUCACAUCUAACAAGGUCACGUUUAUUUGAAUGUUUAUUUUGUGGGUGUGACUGUACCAGCUUAAGUGUGCCUAAUCUCAUCUGAACUCGUGUUCUCGGGAUCUGAACUCGUGUUCUCGGGGACAUUUAGGAAGCAGCUGAGACUUUGUCUUCACUGAAGCAGUCUUUUGAGCUGCCCAGUCCAGUGUUCCAGAGAGGGUUCUCUUUAUCUCUACUCAGGCUUUUAAUCAGAGUUUGGAAAACUGGACACUUGCAUAGAAUUUAGAUGACAGUCUAAUAAAAAUAAAAGCACAUGAUUUCUCGACUGUG